Molecule: ribosomal RNA, 473 nt
Filed under: uncultured bacterium
Lineage: Bacteria
Description: bacterial SSU rRNA
Rfam family: Bacterial small subunit ribosomal RNA
Source: RNAcentral
ACUCCUACGGGAGGCAGCAGUAGGGAAUCUUCCACAAUGGACGAAAGUCUGAUGGAGCAACGCCGCGUGAGUGAAGAAGGGUUUCGGCUCGUAAAACUCUGUUGUUAAAGAAGAACAUAUCUGAGAGUAACUGUUCAGGUAUUGACGGUAUUUAACCAGAAAGCCACGGCUAACUACGUGCCAGCAGCCGCGGUAAUACGUAGGUGGCAAGCGUUGUCCGGAUUUAUUGGGGCGUAAAGCGAGCGCAGGCGGUUUUUAAGUCUGAUGUGAAAGCCUUCGGCUCAACCGAAGAAGUGCAUCGGAAACUGGGAAACUUGAGUGCAGAAGAGGACAGUGGAACUCCAUGUGUAGCGGUGGAAUGCGUAGAUAUAUGGAAGAACACCAGUGGCGAAGGCGGCUGUCUGGUCUGUAACUGACGCUGAGGCUCGAAAGUAUGGGUAGCAAACAGGAUUAGAUACCCUGGUAGGAUAGCG